AGUUUGCAGCCAUACCGGAAUGGGAGGUCAGACAGAGCAGUCUAUUUGUGGCAAUAAGAUAUCAAAUUAUAAACAGAACUGAAGGCCAUGCCAGACAAGGGUUAAGUCACACAGCCUUGGACUUAAAAAAUAAACUAUGCUCCAACUGCUACAAGGCUUUUCUUUUUCUCAAGGAGGUAAACAAGCACUGGCCUCAAGAUAAGCAAUAUUAAAACAACUACAGCUCAUCCAACUCUUAGACACUGACUUCCAGCCCCUGUUCCACCAGAUAUACCUUUCAUUAAACAAGAUCCUGAUUUCAGUAACUUUCUCCAGAGAAGAAGACCACCGACCUUAGACUGGUUCUGGUUGGAUUAAAGAGAGUGUACCCUUGCAUGCCAUUGUGUCCUGCAAGACAUUUUGACGUAUAGAACCUAAUUAUAAAACCAUUAAAUGUUAAGUCUCUACCCCGAAGUGGACAAGGAUUGUAUGUUACAUGCAUUUUUGUUCAAUAUGCAUGUGUCAGGAUCAUCUUCAUAAAUAUUCAUAGCUCCGCCUGUAACCAGUUUAAUAUGUAUGUUUAGCCAACCCAUUCGGCAUAAAGCUCUUGCCCCAACCCCUCUUUUUUCAAAGUGCCUGUCUUUGAUCUUGGUUGGACACAUGUUUUCCAGCCUACGGGAUGACCACCUUGCAGAUUGUCACCCUUUAAUUAUGAAGAAAUGAAGUCUCCAUUUCUACUUUCCAAAUUUAUCGAUAUUGUGGUUACAUUUUUUAAGUUAGCAGUUAUUUAGACCUUACUUUUUUCUAGGCUCUUUGUUGUCUCAUAUUGUGACUGGGCUUGGCUGGAUGACCAGCAGUGCCAUUUCUUCUUCUGAGGGGGAGUAACUAGACAUUUCCCACCUCCCUUACAGUUCAGUGUGGUUAUGUGACUGGUUUCUAGCCAAUAGGAACUAAGAUGAUGUCUUCCCAACAUGAUCUUUGGCUCUCUCUCUUUUUCCAAAUAUAUAGCAAGAAGGAAAGGAUUUCAAGUCACUAGGAAUGAUGGAACCACAAAAUAGAAGGAACUUGAAUAGAAGGAACUUUGAAUAGAAGGAUUGAAAGAAAGCAGAGCCUCUCUUUCAAUCCGCACUGGACUGUGGCAAGAUCAAGAAAUUAACAUUGAAUGUGUAAGCCACUGAAAAUUUGCAGAUGUUGGUUAGUACAUACUGAUUAAUGCACCUAUUAAGAUAAACUUAAGAGUAGGUUUUGAAUAAUUCAAAUAUCCUACAAAAUUCAGGUAGGUUUGGAAAAUUUGCAAGGACUUUAUUAAUAUUAUUUAUUCUCUAUCUCCUAGUAAUGCCACUGAACUUUUAAUUAUGUAAGGGUUGGAAAGUGCCAACAUCUACCUGUAGACAUAGCUUCUCAAUACUGGAUUUUGGUUAAUCAAUGCAAAGGAAGAGGCAAAGUAAGAUUCUUUCAAUUAAUCUGUCCUUGAAUGUGAAGAACUCUUGUUAGCAUUUCUUCUACUCAGUAGAAAAGUAGUACACCCUGGUUUUCUCUAUUUGCAAAUGUUAAAGUUUUUCUUGGUGGAAGCACAUUGAUAAAUGAGGCAUCUUAGGACUAGAAGAAAUCUUAGGAAUGAUACAGUCCAGUCCACUUACAGUUCAGUACACAUUCCAUUUUAGAAUGGAAGAAAUUUAGGAACUGAAAGUAUGAGUGAAACUGAUAGUUGCUGGCACAGCCAAGAAUCAAACUCAAGUUUCCUGACUUCUUACUUUUCAGUGUUGUUUUCACGACAGUGUUCCCAACCAUUACUCCCACCCCUACAUAAGCCUUAUGUCCUAUGGCAUGGUUAAGUUAGAAAAACAGAAGGUUAACAUUUGUGUCAUUUGUUAUCAGUUUUCCUUGUAAGACUUCCUGAAAUAAUCGUCAGCAUUCAAAAGCAAGUUUAAAAGAAGAGCAAAAUGCUUUGGAGUGAAAUUAUGGCUUAUCAAGAGUAUGAAUUUUUGGUGAAAAAAAUGGAUAUUGAAAACAAAAUUAAAAGAUAUUGGCUGUUUGCUUAAAUAUCCUCAGAAUAAUGGCUAGUGUAAAAAUUAGCACCAUUGAUAUACCCAUAGCAGGUGAGCAAUUAAGUGAACCAAGAGCACUUUGCUUUAAUGUACAUGAAAGUGCUUUGAAGAGUGUAAGAAUGAUUCUUAUGUUAGUUGUUGCAGUAAUAAUCCUAGGAGCAUACACAGUGGGUGCUCAGUAAAUGUUGACUGAUGCUUUCCUUCUGCCUCCAGGCUGCGCAAUACCUAAAACAUUUCAGACAGAUGAAAAUCUGAUCUCUGUUUAAAGUUGGUCUCUGAGAAAGAUAAUUUUCAGCCUCCUGAAAAUGGAAUAUUCCACAAUCUUGUUCUCAAAUUCCUACAUGUCUACAACUCUCUGACUUGAAAGGCAGCUGUCUCUUUUAGGUGUUCCCACUCCGUAACCUUUGGAGUCAAUGAGGCCCCCGAUCUGAGUGAGGUUGCAGUUUCUCUGCGUCACAUACUCAAUGCUGGUGGACUCCAUCAGCAGCGCGUAGUCUGUGGUGGAGAUUUUUGAUUUCUGGAGGGAAAGAAAACACACUCACCAGCAGAAGAGGGCUGGAAAAAUACGACCUAAAGGUAUUCAAAGUCCCAAUGGUUCAAAUAAUGAUAGGGAGGAUACUUUCUCCACAGGUGGGGGAGUCAAGAUUGAUGAUCUCAAGGCUUCACUUUUGUAGCUGAGAAGAGCCCAGUUCACUCACUAUUGGACAGCAUUUGCACGGAGGCAGCUAUUACAUGGAGACCUUGAUCUAUAAGCCAUUGUGGCCCACUGGGCUAAGGGGUGACUAGCUCACUCCAGGACUCUGUUCAUUUCAUGCAUUUUCCUUUCAAUCACUCAACUCCAGCAGGUAUUGUUUUGCUGUUUCCAGGUGUAUAAGUUUCAAUCCUUGAUCUAGCAUUCUUCUGCUGGGGAGAGCCCUGGAGUAAACCACUGACUUCCUCUGCUUUAUUUGUGAGAGAACUGUCAUUCACUCUUCUCUUUUCUAGAAAACCCAGAAUGUAAAUGCUCUUUUCAAAUUAAAAUUUAGAUAAGAAAAAUCUUCAGCCAGGCCUGGUGGCUCACACCUGUAA
RNAcentral lists this long non-coding RNA (3095 nucleotides) under Homo sapiens (human). RNAcentral describes it as "HSALNT0403705". Lineage: Eukaryota; Metazoa; Chordata; Mammalia; Primates; Hominidae. The record is from RNAcentral.